UACGGGGGGGGUAAGCGUUGUUCGGAAUUACUGGGCGUAAAGGGCUCGUAGGCGGUCCGUCACGUCGGGAGUGAAAACUCGGGGCUCAACCCCGAGCCUGCUUUCGAUACGGGCGGACUAGAGGUAGGUAGGGGAGAACGGAAUUCCUGGUGUAGCGGUGGAAUGCGCAGAUAUCAGGAGGAACACCGGUGGCGAAGGCGGUUCUCUGGGCCUUACCUGACGCUGAGGAGCGAAAGCGUGGGGAGCGAACAGG
This 253-nucleotide ribosomal RNA is filed under the name uncultured bacterium. RNAcentral describes it as "partial 16S ribosomal RNA". It matches the Rfam family "Bacterial small subunit ribosomal RNA", at positions 524 to 776 of the family's 1533-position model. The record is from RNAcentral.